This 261-nucleotide ribosomal RNA is filed under the name uncultured bacterium. RNAcentral describes it as "partial 16S ribosomal RNA". It matches the Rfam family "Bacterial small subunit ribosomal RNA", at positions 524 to 776 of the family's 1533-position model. The record is from RNAcentral.
UACGUAGGGUGCAAGCGUUGUCCGGAAUUAUUGGGCGUAAAGAGCUGCGUAGGCGGUUUGUUGCGUUCGGCUGUGAAAUCCCGAGGCUCAACCCUCGGGUCUGCGAGUCGAUACGAGCAAACUAGAGUGUUGCAGGGGAGACUGGGAAUUCCUGGUGAUAGCGGUGAAAUGACGCAGAUAUCAGGAGGAACACCGGUGGCGAAGGCGGGUCUCUGGGCAACAACUGACGCUGGAGGAGCGAAAGCGUGGGGAGCGAACAGG